UGUUUGCUAGUUGUUUGCUAGUUGUUUGCUAGUUGUUUGCUAGUUGUUAUCAGACUCGUUUCUCGCUAAAGAUGAUGCAGAGUCUGCUGUGUUGACUCCUCCCAUGGCUUGUUCUUUCGACCCAGUGACUUCAAUGAAAAUUCAGAGCACAGAUGUUCAGUUUGCACUUUACUGGCUAUAGGUGGAGCUACCGGGUAAUUGGAAUUGGAGGCCUGGGGAGAAAAAGGACCAAUGAUGAGCAAGAGCUGACCAGAGGAGGCGGAGCCCUCCAUUUAAAAUUUAAAAGCAGCUCCGGAAGUCCCCGUAAGGGGGAGGAAAGAAGGAGGGAGCCUGUUGUUUGCUAGUUGUUUGCUAGUUGUUUUGGUUAUCCUAGCUCACCUGGUUUAGGAACAGGUAAGAAUGUGCGCGCACCUACAUUCCACCACGUAGGUUUUUCUAUUGUUUAGACACCCUAGUUAGAGGGCAGGUGCCACCCACUGUAUUUUUUUGUAGCUUAGCCUAGAGUAGUCAGCUAGUCUGUUCCUGCCUGUUAGUUAGGUUAAGCUUCCCAAAAUACAGCCUAGUGUAGACCCUUUUGUUGUGUUAAUUUCUUUGGCACUGUCCAUGUUCUUUUGCCAGUGUGAGACUAGUCUUCUUGACUCUGUAAAAGCACGCUUGGGAUUUGUUUCUUACCUUACUGCACGUGACUAUUAAACAUUAACAACUCUAA
Long non-coding RNA from Silurus meridionalis, 709 nucleotides. RefSeq lists it as uncharacterized. The record is from RefSeq and is a predicted model, not a curated record. Lineage: Eukaryota; Metazoa; Chordata; Actinopteri; Siluriformes; Siluridae. The transcript has 2 exons.